Molecule: transfer RNA, 29 nt
Filed under: Turbinaria ornata
Lineage: Eukaryota; Phaeophyceae; Fucales; Sargassaceae
Also listed under: 2 other names
Description: partial tRNA-Ile
Source: RNAcentral
CGGUUCGUAGUUUAAUUGGCAAAACAUAG